Molecule: long non-coding RNA, 651 nt
Organism: Melospiza melodia melodia
Lineage: Eukaryota; Metazoa; Chordata; Aves; Passeriformes; Passerellidae
Exons: 4
Source: RefSeq, a predicted model, not a curated record
CGGGAGCGGCGCUGCGGCGCUGCCUCAAGAGGGACUGGACCGGGACUGGGACCGGCACCGGCCUCAGCCUCUCCCGGCGCGGCCAGCGAGAAUCUCUGCGUCCCUCAUGCGCACCAAACCGGUGCUGGUGGAGGCGGCUCCACAGCUGCGCCUUCCCCCGCCAUGUUCUGGCGAGGCUCCCUCGGGGCCGGUGCCGCUCUCCGCCGGCCCCGGCGCUGAUCGGCUGCGGCGGGAGGAACCGAGCGAGCCUGGCAGUGGACAAAAAAUGAAGUGACCAGGAUGGUGUGAGUUCAGAAAUGCAGGGCGAUCCUUCAGGAGGGGGCUGCCCAAGCAAGCUUCAGCCACCUUGCUGACUAGGCAGACCAGAGGAGCCCAGCCCAGGUGAGCUCCACUGCUGGGAGGUGCAAGCCCUGCCCAGGUGAGCUCCACUGCUGGGAGGUGCCAGGGGGUGCCAGCCCUGCCCAGAUUAUGCCUUGAGCUGCAGAAUGUCUGACAAACUGAGAACUGCUUGGCAGCAUCCACGUCUGAUGGCUUGGAGAUUCCUGAAACUUGAUCAUCUGUGUUUUCUCUGCAUGGUUAAGAAGGAUUUAAAUAAAAAUUAAAAAAAAAAAAAAAAAAAAAAACUAAAUAAAGAUGCCACCUACAAGACUG